GUCCACGCCGAUUCGUCUUCUGCUUUCCUUCGUCUCUCUCUGUCCGAUCGAUUUCCAUCUCAUUUUCGCCCACAGACCCACGUCGAUCCGAAUCCUAUAUCUCAUCGGCCUUCAAGUUCGUCUUCUCAUUCUCGCCGCCGGUCUCCUCAUCCUCGCCGUGACGCCGUCUAUCUCCUCCUCACCGUCAGUUCGGCCCUCGCCUUCCAUCUUGAGGUUAGUACAAAUUGAUUUUAUAUCAUAAAGAUCCUAUUUGAAUACUUUACAAACCUCUUUUUACAUCAUUGUUAGUAUCUUAUUUUUAAAGAAAAGAAAAUAAAAAAACAAAAGAACAAGAAACGCCUUUACUUCUACCUUUUAAUUUAGCUGAUCGUAGAACCUUGAUUUUAUGAUGCUGUAAUUACAAUUUUGUAGAAAAUACUGUAAUUACAUUUACAUUUUGUAAUUAAUUUUGUAGAAUCUUGUAGAACCAAAAAUGAUUUUGAAUUUGAAAAAAAAUAAUGCAAUCGGACAAUUCAAUCCAAUCUAAUCUAUAGUUUACGGAUUGGAUUAGAUUAGAAACUAAAUUUUGCCAACCCGACCCAACAAAAAAAAAUGCUUUUUAGAUAAGAUAUUCUGUUGCAGCUGCCACGUACAAAAAGGCCACACUUUUGCAUGUAAAAGGGUUACUUUUUUUCUUUAUGCCCUUUUCAUUUCUUCCUUUCGUGAUUGGGUUUUACAGAGAAAGCUCAAGCUUCCUUCUUCUUGCUUUGUUCUUCUGUGCGUGUUGAUUUCUCCUUUUUUAUGGAAGAUUUUUCUGUAGGUGAUGAAAAUGAAGAAAAUGAAGAGAGAGAAAACAUUAUUGAAAGCAUAUUGGUUUCAAUGAUCGACGAAUCUGCGGCAGUUUGUCAAUUCAACGAUUUGCUUCGAUUGCUGUUCUACACAGAGAAGAGACACCCAGAAUAAGCUAGAAUAUUCUAUUGAAAUUCAUUAGAAAAUAAUGGAAGUCAAAGCCAGAGCUCCCGGGAAAAUCAUACUCGCCGGUGAACAUGCCGUCGUCCAUGGAUCCACAGCCAUUGCCGCUUCCGUUGAUCUCUACACUACAGCUUCAGUUAGAUUGCCAAGUUCUUCUGACGAGAAUGAUAUUGUGAAACUCCAAUUGAAGGACCUGAAACUUGAGUUUUCAUGGCCAGUUAGUAGAAGCAGGGAAGCUUUGGGUGUAUUUGUCGGUGCCAUCUCGUCACCCACAACAUGCCCUGCAGAGUGCUUGAAAUCAAUUGCAUCUCUGGUCGAGGAUCAAAACAUUCCGGAGGCGAAAAUUGGACUUGCUUCUGGAGUGGCAGCAUUUCUUUGGCUCUGUUCUUCCAUCCUAGGGUGGCCAUCACUUCUGAGCUUCCUCUUGGAUCUGGCUUGGGAUCAUCAGCAGCGUUUUGCGUUGCCCUAUCAGCUGCUCUGCUUGCUUUAUCAGGUUCUGUGAACGUGGAUCGGGAGCAUCAUGGAUGGAUGGUAUAUAAAGAAGAUGAACUAGAUUUGUUGAACAAGUGGGCCUUUGAGGGUGAAAAGAUAAUCCAUGGAAAACCCUCUGGAAUAGACAACACAGGGAGCACAUAUGAUUGAUAUCAGAGCAACUGAAUCUGGGCAAAUGCAAAGAGAUGGCUAAGAAGAGCGAAGAAAGACUGAACUUCGUUGAGCAAGAGAUUCUGGAGAUGAGGACAGAGAUGAAGAAGUUACCUGCAAUGGAAGAGAAUAUGUCCUUGAUCUCAAAGAGCAUUGAGAAUAUUAACGUGCAGAUGGAGAAACAGCAAUUACAACAGCAAACUAUUCUGUAAUAUAUUGAUGGAAUCAACUGGGAUUGAUUCAGCGACUGAGAUGAAGAUGGGGGAGUCGAAAACUGAUUGGAGGAAUGAUGACCAUAAGAUGUUUGUUCUGAGCAAAUUAAGUAGGUCGAGAUGCCAAUCUUCAACGGAACGGAUCCCAAUUCUUGGUUAUUCAGAGCAGACUGUUAUUUCAAAAUCCAUAACCUCACCGAAUCCGAGAAAAUGUCAGUUGCCAUUAUAAGCUUCGACGGUCCGGCCCAUGACUAGUAUUGAUCACAGGAUGAGCGGGAAUCGUUUAAGAGUUGGGAUGACUUGAAGCAGAACAUGUUCACAAGGUUCCAAACGAUUAGGGAUGGCACCUUGGUGGCAAGGUUUCUGACGAUCACACAGGAACUCGUGGUGGAGGAAUAUCGGAAUAGGUUUCACAAGUACUUAGAUUUGUGCCUGUUGAGGUGGCCAUCACUUCUGAGCUUCCUCUUGGAUCUGGCUUGGGAUCAUCAGCAGCGUUUUGUGUUGCCCUAUCAGCUGCUCUGCUUGCUUUAUCAGGUUUUGUGAACGUGGAUUGGGAGCAUCGUAGAUG
This is an RNA transcript of Cucumis melo (muskmelon), 2373 nucleotides long. It is a transcript of the gene named mevalonate kinase-like, with no coding region annotated. The record is from RefSeq and is a predicted model, not a curated record. The transcript is spliced from 4 exons. NCBI's taxonomy places the organism in Eukaryota, Viridiplantae, Streptophyta, Magnoliopsida, Cucurbitales, Cucurbitaceae.